AACAUAAAUAGACACAAACUAAAUGCUACGGCUAUUGCUCACGUUCAAAUUUCACAGGUAUGCACAGGUUCUGUCAAAAUUUAAAAAAACUCCGCAGUUUUCUAUUAUUUGUGAAGCAACGCACCGGACUUUCCAAACCAAGAUAGUAUUCCCCAACUUCAUGAUUCGUAAGUACUCCAAAUGGCAACGAACUGCAUUCGAACAUCACAGUGGCAUCGUGCAAUAAUCCAAUUCUUUAGAAUGAUGAUAAUGAAAAUUAGAGAGAAAUUUGAAUAUAAGGGAUUUUUUCUAAGAAAAUGGAAAAUACAGAAGUGGAGGGGGAAGAUCAAAAAGCUAAAUUCAGGGAUGGAUCAAAUUUGGAAGGGGAAUUGCAGAUAGAGUCACGGAGAUAGAGAUGUGGAAGUGGAUUGCAGAUUUGCUGCCGAUUUGAAGAUUGGGAGAGGGACAAUUGGGGUUUGGGUGCGGGAUAGUAUAAAUAGGGUUUGGCAAAGGGAAAAUUGCAGCUGAGGUGCCAAACCUUUCGUUUAUU
RNAcentral lists this long non-coding RNA (529 nucleotides) under Olea europaea (common olive). RNAcentral describes it as "long non-coding RNA (OEUR_LNC011435)". The record is from RNAcentral. Lineage: Eukaryota; Viridiplantae; Streptophyta; Magnoliopsida; Lamiales; Oleaceae.